RNAcentral lists this ribosomal RNA (437 nucleotides) under uncultured bacterium. RNAcentral's name for it is "bacterial SSU rRNA". It matches the Rfam family "Bacterial small subunit ribosomal RNA", at positions 366 to 793 of the family's 1533-position model. The record is from RNAcentral.
GCACAAUGGGCGCAAGCCUGAUGCAGCCAUGCCGCGUGUAUGAAGAAGGCCUUCGGGUUGUAAAGUACUUUCAGCAGUGAGGAAGGUGGAUAUGUUAAUAGCAUAUUCAUUUGACGUUAGCUGCAGAAGAAGCACCGGCUAACUCCGUGCCAGCAGCCGCGGUAAUACGGAGGGUGCGAGCGUUAAUCGGAAUUACUGGGACGUAAAGCGCAUGCAGGUGGUUUGUUAAGUCAGAUGUGAAAGCCCGGGGCUCAACCUCGGAAUUGCAUUUAGAAACUGGACAAACUAGAGUACUGUAGAGGGGGUAGAAUUUCAGGUGUAGCGGUGAAAUGCGUAGAGAUCUGAAGGAAUACCGGUGGCGAAGGCGGCCCCCUGGACAGAUACUGACACUCAGAUGCGAAAGCGUGGGGAGCAAACAGGAUUAGAUACCCUGGUAG